This is a non-coding RNA of Homo sapiens (human), 290 nucleotides long. It matches the Rfam family "Metazoan signal recognition particle RNA". From Rfam's summary of the family: The signal recognition particle (SRP) is a universally conserved ribonucleoprotein. It is involved in the co-translational targeting of proteins to membranes. NCBI's taxonomy places the organism in Eukaryota, Metazoa, Chordata, Mammalia, Primates, Hominidae. The record is from Rfam.
GCCAGACGCGGCUGUAGUCCCAGCUACUCGGGAGGCUAAGGCAGGUGGAUCACUGGAGUCCAGGAGUUCCGGGCUGUAGUGCGCUCUGCCGAUCAGGUGACUGCACCAAGUUCGGCAUCAAUCUGAUGUCCUCCAGGAAGACCGGAGCCACCAGAUUGCCCAGGGAGCGGUGAACUGGCCCAGGUUGGAAAGAGAACAGGUCAAAACUCCACUGCUGAUCAGUAGUGGGAUUGUGCCUAUGAAUAGCCACUGCACUCCAGCUUGGACAACCUAGGCAGAACCUAUCUCAA